Molecule: ribosomal RNA, 446 nt
Filed under: uncultured bacterium
Lineage: Bacteria
Description: partial 16S ribosomal RNA
Rfam family: Bacterial small subunit ribosomal RNA
Source: RNAcentral
CCUACGGGCGGCAGCAGUCGAGAAUCUUUCACAAUGGGGGAAACCCUGAUGCUGCGACGCCGCGUGGGGGAAUGAAGGUCUUCGGAUUGUAAACCUCUGUCAUGUGGGAGCAAAUCAAAAAGAUAGUACCACAAGAGGAAGAGACGGCUAACUCUGGGCCAGCAGCCGCGGUAAUACAGAGGGCUCAAGCGUUGUUCGGAAUCACUGGGCGUAAAGCGUGCGUAGGCUGUUUCGUAAGUCGUGUGUGAAAGGCGCGGGCUCAACCCGCGGACGGCACAUGAUACUGCGAGACUAGAGUGAUGGAGAGGGAAGCGGAAUUCUCGGUGUAGCAGUGAAAUGCGUAGAUAUCGAGAGGAACACUCGUGGCGAAGGCGGGUUCCUGGACAUUAACUGACGCUGAGGCACGAAGGCCAGGGGAGCGAAAGGGAUUAGAUACCCCAGUAGUC